Molecule: transfer RNA, 75 nt
Filed under: Pseudolactococcus plantarum
Lineage: Bacteria; Bacillati; Bacillota; Bacilli; Lactobacillales; Streptococcaceae
Also listed under: 2 other names
Description: tRNA-Pro
Rfam family: tRNA
About the family: Transfer RNA (tRNA) molecules are approximately 80 nucleotides in length. Their secondary structure includes four short double-helical elements and three loops (D, anti-codon, and T loops). Further hydrogen bonds mediate the characteristic L-shaped molecular structure. tRNAs have two regions of fundamental functional importance: the anti-codon, which is responsible for specific mRNA codon recognition, and the 3' end, to which the tRNAs corresponding amino acid is attached (by aminoacyl-tRNA synthetases). tRNAs cope with the degeneracy of the genetic code in two manners: having more than one tRNA (with a specific anti-codon) for a particular amino acid; and 'wobble' base-pairing, i.e. permitting non-standard base-pairing at the 3rd anti-codon position.
Source: RNAcentral
UGGGAAUUAGCUCAGUUUGGUCAGAGCGCCUAGUUUGGGACUAGGAAGUCGCAGGUUCGAAUCCUGUAUUCCCGA